This 85-nucleotide ribosomal RNA is filed under the name Bacteroidales bacterium. RNAcentral's name for it is "partial 16S ribosomal RNA". It matches the Rfam family "Bacterial small subunit ribosomal RNA", at positions 1 to 80 of the family's 1533-position model. Lineage: Bacteria; Pseudomonadati; Bacteroidota; Bacteroidia; Bacteroidales. The record is from RNAcentral.
AAUUUACAAUGAAGAGUUUGAUCCUGGCUCAGGAUGAACGCUAGCGGCAGGCUUAACACAUGCAAGUCGAGGGGCAGCACGGGUA